CUGCUCAAUGAAUAAUUUUUUAAAUAGCUGCAGUAUAAAUAACUGUACAAAGGUAGCAUAAUAAUUAGUUUUUUUAUUGAAAACUAGAAUGAAAGAUUUAAUGAAAUAUAAACUGUCUUAAAUAAAUUGACAAUUAAAAUUAUUUUUAAGUUAAAAAACUUAAAUAAUAUUAAAAGACGAGAAGACCCUUUAGAAUUUUAUAAAUAUUUUAUUUAAUAUAACUUAUUAAUAUAAAUUUUAAUUAAAAUAUUUAUUUAAUUGGGGCAAUUUUAAAAUUUAAUAAAUUUUUAAAAUAAUUUUACAUAAAUUAAUGAUUUAAUGAUCUUAAAAUUUAAAUUUUUAAAAUAAAUUACCUAAGGGAUAACAGCAUAAUUUUAUUUUUAAGAUCAAAUUUAAAAUAAAUCUUAUGACCUCGAUGUUGAAUUAAGAUAAAAUUAAAAUGAAAAAAUUUUAUAUUUUAAGUCUGUUCGACU
Molecule: ribosomal RNA, 473 nt
Filed under: Homolobus sp.
Lineage: Eukaryota; Metazoa; Arthropoda; Insecta; Hymenoptera; Braconidae
Description: partial 16S ribosomal RNA
Source: RNAcentral